This is a long non-coding RNA of Gadus chalcogrammus (walleye pollock), 1580 nucleotides long. RefSeq lists it as uncharacterized. The record is from RefSeq and is a predicted model, not a curated record. Lineage: Eukaryota; Metazoa; Chordata; Actinopteri; Gadiformes; Gadidae. The transcript has 4 exons.
CCACGUUGGAAAAGUUAUUCACUUCAAAACGAACUUGAACAGCGUUUUGAGAACACGGGGUGUAGGCCUACUUCAGCAAUCUAACAUGCACGCACGUUAUGUAUCUGGUCUCAACUUGAACUGCUUGAAUUGAAUGAAGACCCCCGCUGGUUUGAGUUUGUUGCGUCACCAAAACAUUGACUGAGUUAAAGGUCCUGUAGAUCCUUGGCCACGCCCACCUCACCACCGUGACGUCAUCACAUGACAUCAACAGCAUGGUUCUCACGAGGACGGCCUAAUUGUGCGCCGGCAUUCCUAGCGAGUGUGAUUAAGACAUUACACAAGCACGCCGCUGGGACUCUGGGAGACAGGCCUGGCCUAAUGGAGUCCACACACUGGAACCAGGCUGGCGGGCGACUGCAGUAAACGCUGCUGUGGAGACCACAGGAGGCCCAUUAACUACCGAGACCGUUGCCUCUCCUGGUGAGAGGUUCCACUCUGGCCCGGGCUCGUCCUGGAAGGAAUAUCUGGUUACCCAAACAUCUCGUCUUCAACCCGGUGAUGCCAAGUUGUUCUGAAUAACUGCACUAACAGCACUGGGGCGGGUCCAAUGAGCUACUGUGUUUACAUCGUAAUGUUGCAUCCAUUGCGAUGAAAUAAAUGUAAUCUGCUGUGGAUAUGGGGAGUACAAGUCUAGAAAUGAAAAAGUGUGAAGGAAAACGCCUACAGCUCCCCCAUUUGAACCUUCAUUGGGGGAGGAUGUGUCUUGAGUGGCCGUAUACACUACUGUCCGAGGUUCUUAGUGGACAAAGUUAGAAGCUUAGUGCCCUGUAAGGUCAUUAGGGAAAUCAGCUGUUUCACACCAAGGGGCUGAAGUCUAAACGGCUUACAGGAAGUAGGAACAACGGAGCUUUAUCUCCUGGUGAUUCCACCAUGGUGAUCCAUUCUGAGGGGUUUGCUAAUCCAUGAAGUCAUUUAAUGGUUUAGUUAAUUAGUUGUUUGUUAACUCACGGAUACUUGUUGGACAUAUGUGUGUACAGACAAUGAUUGCUGCAAGUAUUCCAGAUGAUAAAGUCUUUGUUGACCAGAAAGUCUCGGGGUUAGGACAUUGUCUCUCAAUAUCCGCAAACUAGGUGUCCUUGGGCAGGAUGCCCUUAACUCUUCUUGCUCGGUAAUUUGCUGCAUUGUACAACUGUUUUUGUUCGAGAGAGAUUUAGUCCAUGGUAUUACAUUUCAAUUGAACUGUAUACAGGUCUCAAAUUGUAUUGUCCCUUAAAAAGGGAAAUUGGGCUUAUGAUAGUGGAUACUAUGUUGUAUUAACGAAAUGUUGGGCAGGGCAAACUACUGAAGUGGAACGAGAUCAUCCGUUAUGACAGGCUGCCUUAAAUCCAGGCCACUAAUGACAAGGAUAGGAUCACAUGGAUGAGACAAUGGCACUGUAGCCUAGUUAGCAUAACAGCUAGAGAGCACUGUAGCCAGUCCUCAUCAUCAAAUCCCCAUGGUUGUGGUUUGAAAGGAAAAAACAAGGCAACGAUUCACCUCUGCACACAUUUGUGAGAUGUAUCAUCUGCCUUGGCUUCAAAGUCCCUCUUUUCUGUGUC